AGUGGGGAAUAUUGGACAAUGGACCAAAAGUCUGAUCCAGCAAUUCUGUGUGCACGAUGAAGGUCUUCGGAUUGUAAAGUGCUUUCAGUUGGGAAGAAGAAAGUGACGGUACCAACAGAAGAAGCGACGGCUAAAUACGUGCCAGCAGCCGCGGUAAUACGUAUGUCGCAAGCGUUAUCCGGAUUUAUUGGGCGUAAAGCGCGUCUAGGCGGUUUUGUAAGUCUGAUGUGAAAAUGCGGGGCUCAACUCCGUAUUGCGUUGGAAACUGCAGAACUAGAGUACUGGAGAGGUGGGCGGAACUACAAGUGUAGAGGUGAAAUUCGUAGAUAUUUGUAGGAAUGCCGAUGGAGAAGUCAGCUCACUGGACAGAUACUGACGCUGAAGCGCGAAAGCGUGGGGAGCAAA
RNAcentral lists this ribosomal RNA (405 nucleotides) under uncultured Cetobacterium sp. RNAcentral describes it as "bacterial SSU rRNA". It matches the Rfam family "Bacterial small subunit ribosomal RNA", at positions 353 to 772 of the family's 1533-position model. Lineage: Bacteria; Fusobacteriati; Fusobacteriota; Fusobacteriia; Fusobacteriales; Fusobacteriaceae. The record is from RNAcentral.